CAGCUGCCUAGGCUAAUCAGGCACAAGAGCGGCUAUCGUGGAAACUUUUUACGGCUUCGAGGACAACAUCAGCAGCCAUCACUGACACCGGUGAGCGGCGCGAAGGCACCAAGCGCAGUCGUUCAACUGCCACCGUGGCGGAGGGGCAAGGCAGCAACGGGGAUGUGCAAGCGUGGCAAGGGCCGCCAUUACCGCAGCAUGGCGUCGGAACCGACGAGCCUGUGAGCCAGCCUGGAGCCGCCAGGGUCUCCUACAUUCGACCACCAACACUCGUCCUAGAAGCGACGAGGAAAGCUGAGAGCAUGUCGGACGAAGCAAGCUGUGCGAAAAAGGUGAGAGUGGAAGAUCUGAUUGACCACAUGAAUGAGAAAACAUCGACCUACACCCUCAGCUAAGAGGAAGACAUUGAAUGUGAUGAGGAGGCAGGUUCUUUCACUCUUGUGGCAUAUAAUAAAAGAAGGUUCGAGGGGAUACCUGUGGUAUUCCGACCAACUGAAGAAAUGAAAACGUUUUGGAAAGUGAACCGAAAUGUUGUAGCCUCAGAAAUGGUUGCAAAAGAGAAAGCAGGUCCUUUUCGAGUGAACGAAGACGGAAGUUUCUCAGUCAUUGUGAGUUCACUCGCCUCAGCCAAGAGUUUGUUGUCAUGAGUACAGGUGGCUCGCUUACCAGUGAAACCAUUUAUUUCGGAGUCAUAAAUGCGAAAUGUUGGCAAAAUCAGAAAUGUACCUCUAGAAUACAAAGAAGAACAAUUAACAGAAUAUUUAAGAGAGGCAGGAGUGACAUCAGCUAGAUGCCAGACCCGUUACAUACGUCAAGAAGAUGGCACCAUGGAAUUGCGCCCUGUGAGAAGUGUAGUUUUGUAAUUUCGCCAUGACCGACUAAUCCAAGAGUGAGUGUAUCUUGGCUUCUCUAGCCAUCCAGCCGAGGAAUAUCUGGGGUUAGCCGGACGCUUCUACAACUGCCAGAGAUUUGGUAACUUAGCGAAAAACUGCCGAGGAACAAGGCGCUGGAAAAUAUGUGCAGAAGACCACCAUCACAAAGACCGCAAGUCUAUAAGACAACUUAAGCGCGCGAGUUGCAACUGGCCCCACACUGCAUAAUUUUAUGGAUGCCCGCAGCACAAAGCGGCCUCUCUUCAAUAUCAACACGACAUUAUCUAUGGUCGCACACAACAGCGUGGUGCACCGGAACCAAACAUGAAUACGAUGAACCCAGCACAAUCACCUCGACCACAAGCGUCUAUGCAUCAGGACACUUCUAUGCAAUAUGCAAAAGUCGCAAGGGGACCACAACACCGAGGGCAAAGUUUUGGGACAUCACUAAGCCAACAUCAAACUCGACAAGAAGUUGAAGAGCAAUCACAUGGCUAACAAACGAUGAAACUCGAGCACACCGCAACCAGCCAAUAACCUCCCGGAGGUCAAGACCGUAUCGUCGAUGGAACAAGUGAUAUAGCAAAACACAUCAGCCACUGCGCAGGCGGGGCAUGAUGCUACACUUCGAGCACCAUCCGUUGGCGGUGCAAGGAACUCAGCGGCACGCGCAGCGCGCGUACUGCGCUAUGAUUGGUUGGCCUAUUCGUCAAGGGAACAGCCAGGCCGCAGCCACGGUCACUAAACCUGGUGAGGGUCGAAUAUCUAUCAAUGGAGCUCCAGGUCGAAUUCAUCAAGAAAGAAGAAGCUACCUAACCUCACAGCUACAAAUGGAACGCCGUCUUAGAGAUUCUUGGAGCAUGGUUCAUGAAUUCGUACGUGCGCAAGUCUACAAACGCCCUUCUGUAUUUCUUGAAGGUGACUGGACUGUACGAACGCUUGUGACAGCGGACAUUCCUAUGUGAACGCCUGCACAAUGAGUGACUCUCUAUUAUUUUUUUCUUAUCCUUCUUUUUUAUGUAUAACUUCGCCCUUUGCCCUCCACAAGUGUAGGGUAGCCAACCGAGCGCAUUCUCGGUUAACUUCUCUACAUUUUCGCCUUCGUUUCUCUCUCUCUCUAUCUCUCUCUCUCUCACUCUCACUUUCGCGUGUAGUGGGCCGAUAUCAGGGCGUUUGUACUAGCGUUUCUCUCAACAAGCAGAAUAGAUUUCCACAGAUCGAAUUUACACGCUGUAAUAAGUGAGCCGGCCAGGACCAUUUGCCGCAAUCGGUGUCCAUUGGGCAUUCCAGCCGUAAGCCGCCAAAUCUAAAAGUAAAACUCUCGAUUGAUU
This is a long non-coding RNA of Dermacentor albipictus, 2203 nucleotides long. RefSeq lists it as uncharacterized. NCBI's taxonomy places the organism in Eukaryota, Metazoa, Arthropoda, Arachnida, Ixodida, Ixodidae. The record is from RefSeq and is a predicted model, not a curated record.